ACAAAGGGUCGAAUAAAACAAUUUUGGAGGACAACGUAGUUCUUUGCCCAAAUGAACGCUGUAUUCUAGAGGUCUAUAUGUACGGGAAUGAAAUGUUUGGCAAAAUUCUUCAGCAACAAAAACACACUGGGAUUCAAAAGCAUUGCGUUUUUUCCGAUUCCCAGCGGAACCAGAAAAAGCCAUGGUUGAAAUAUUGUGGACUUCCUGAUUUCUGUCUAACGGACAGUAGUCGAUUGUGCAGCUUCCACUUCGGCCAGGAAGACAUUUACCUGACAUCAGCGAAGGGAAACAUUUAUAAAUGUCGAGGAGCUAUGCCAAUGAACACCGUCGUUCCGCUUUUUCGUCGGUGUCAUCAAAGAGCAAAAUACGUCAACAACUCUACAAUUCCACUGUGCCUGAUGGUCUACUUGAGGAGCAUCACUCAAAUUACGUGGGAGAUGGGCGGAUGUUUGCAAAGAUGAAUAAAUAUGAAAAAUAGAUAUCCAGUGAAACUGACGGCUGCAAAGAUAGCAUAACCCUGUCGUAGGAGGAGAGAGACUCGAGAAUGGCGGAAAGUGCUUCAUAUCGUGGUCUCAGUUCAACAAUGUUGGUGAUGAUUUGAUUGAUGC
Molecule: long non-coding RNA, 608 nt
Organism: Topomyia yanbarensis
Lineage: Eukaryota; Metazoa; Arthropoda; Insecta; Diptera; Culicidae
Exons: 3
Source: RefSeq, a predicted model, not a curated record